This 551-nucleotide ribosomal RNA is filed under the name uncultured Acaulospora. RNAcentral's name for it is "SSU rRNA". It matches the Rfam family "Eukaryotic small subunit ribosomal RNA", at positions 548 to 1098 of the family's 1831-position model. The record is from RNAcentral. Lineage: Eukaryota; Fungi; Glomeromycota; Glomeromycetes; Diversisporales; Acaulosporaceae.
UUGGAGGGCAAGUCUGGUGCCCGCAGCCGCGGUAAUUCCAGCUCCAAUAGCGUAUAUUAAAGUUGUUGCAGUUAAAAAGCUCGUAGUUGAAUUUCGGGAUUUGUCGGUUGGUCGGGCUUCACUGUCCGCACUGGCCUGAUGGAUUCCUACCUUCUGAACAACCAGCAUGCUAUUAAGUUAGUGCGUUGGGGAAGCAGAGCUAUUACCUUGAAAAAAUUAGAGUGCUUAAAGCAAGCUUGUGCUUGAAUAGAUUAGCAUGGAAUAAUAAAAUAGGACGGCAUGGUUCUAUUUUGUUGGUUUCUAGGAUCACCGUAAUGAUUAAUAGGGAUAGUUGGGGGCAUUAGUAUUCAAUUGUCAGAGGUGAAAUUCUUGGAUUUAUUGAAGACUAACUUCUGCGAAAGCAUUUGCCAAGGAUGUUUUCAUUAAUCAAGAACGAAAGUUAGGGGAUCGAAGACGAUCGGAUACCGUCGUAGUCUUAACCAUAAACUAUGCCGACUAGGGAUCGGACGAUGUUAAUUUUUUAAUGACUCGUUCGGCGCCUUACGGGAAAC